CUAUACUUUGCAGUACUUUAUACUUUGGAGUACUCUAUACUUUGCAGUACUUUAUACUUUGCAGUACUUUAUACUUUGUCUGUGAGUAUUGAGUCCAGGUAUUCCUGCUGCAGCUGAAAUGAGUCUCCAGCCAGGAGGACAAAGUGUGAUCAGAGUCUGAGAACAAAAUCUGUCUGGAGGUCUGUCUGAGAGAGGAUGAAACUGAAGCUCCUAUUGGUCCAUCUGUUAGAGUGGGAUGAAGCUGAAGCUCCUAUUGGUCCAUCUGUUAGAGUGGGAUGAAGCUGAAGCUCCUAUUGGUCCAUCUGUUAGAGUGGGAUGAAGCUGAAGCUCCUAUUGGUCCAUCCGUUAGAGUGGGAUGAAGCUGAAGCUCCUAUUGGUCCAUCUGUUAGAGUGGGAUGAAGCUGAAGCUCCUAUUGGUCCAUCUGUUAGAGUGGGAUGAAGCUGAAGCUCCUAUUGGUCCAUCCGUUAGAGUGGGAUGAAGCUGAAGCUCCUAUUGGUCCAUCCGUUAGAGUGGGAAGAAGCUGAAGCUCCUAUUGGUCCAUCUUUCAGGUGGGAUGAAGUUGGAAUGAGCUUCUCUCUCAGGGACUUGGUCAGAGUUUCAUGUCAACAUCUGGACCUCCUAACAGGACGGGUUCAAACGACCAGAACCAGCUUUGAGAGAAUUGGGCCCCCGUGACUCUAACUCUGGACCCAAAGACUGAAGAUGAGUGGACGGUCACGGCUUGAUCUUGAGCUCUGAUUGGAUAAUCAUCUUGAUUGACAGCUGAGUAGACGAUGUUUGUCAGACAAAAGAAGAAGAUCUCAGGACAACAACCAUCAUCUUCCUCAGUCUCUGACUCCACCCCCCAACCUUGUUUGUGGCGACGUCCUCCCUCAACCCCCCCUUUGCCUCUGAGGGCUCAAAAGCUUGUUGCUAGGCAACCAUCAACGGAAGGCCUGAAGGGUAAAGGUCAGAGGUCAGGGGUCAGAGAUUCCUGGCCGAGUGCCCUGAGAUUGACCUGUGACCUGAGUCCAGGGCGAACUCAGAGGUCACAAACGCCGUCUACCGUCACCUGGUGUGUCCGGAAGACUCCGCCUCCAUCCAGCAAACCAAACCCUUUUGGAGUGCCAUCAGCCCCGCCCACUGGCAAGUCCACGCUCUCUCUGCCUCCAGCAGCCAAUCACAGCUGUUACCCGUCAGUUCCUGAGGAAGACCCUCCCAUGGGGCGGAGCUCCGGCGCCACGAUGAGGUCACUGACCUCAUUCUGCUGCAGUGUCUUCAGGGACAGUCUGCUGCCCCUCGACCAUAAGAUCAAUCAGACCGUGGUGAGUCCGUCCUCUUCAACAGAUGUUUCUCCUCAGUCUGACAAACAGAACGAAGAAGAUUCACACGGGUUGACUUCCUGUCAGGAGUCUUCCUCAGACGGUGUCCUUCAUCAAUUAAUCAACUGACUGUGAAGUCUUUGGCUUCACACACACACACCCCCCCCCCCCCCCCCCCCCCCCCCAAAAAAAAUCUACAGAAAAGGAUCCUGGGAGAUCGAGUGGGAGUGUCUAUGAUGUUCUUUGUCAUCCAUAGGAACUGGUUCUCUUUUGUUUGGUGGUCGGGGUGUGUUCCAG
RNAcentral lists this long non-coding RNA (1599 nucleotides) under Oryzias javanicus (javanese ricefish). Its description in RNAcentral is "lncRNA (ENSOJAG00000016564.1)". The record is from RNAcentral. Lineage: Eukaryota; Metazoa; Chordata; Actinopteri; Beloniformes; Adrianichthyidae.